AUUGAGCGCUGGCGGCAUGCUUUACACAUGCAAGUCGAACGGCAGCGCGGGCUUCGGCCUGGCGGCGAGUGGCGAACGGGUGAGUAAUGCAUCGGAACGUGCCCAGUAGUGGGGGAUAGCCCGGCGAAAGCCGGAUUAAUACCGCAUACGACCUGAGGGUGAAAGCGGGGGACCGAAAGGCCUCGCGCUAUUGGAGCGGCCGAUGUCGGAUUAGCUAGUUGGUGGGGUAAAGGCUUACCAAGGCGACGAUCCGUAGCUAGUCUGAGAGGACGACCAGCCACACUGGGACUGAGACACGGCCCAGACUCCUACGGGAGGCAGCAGUGGGGAAUUUUGGACAAUGGGGGCAACCCUGAUCCAGCCAUGCCGCGUGCGGGAAGAAGGCCUUCGGGUUGUAAACCGCUUUUGUUCGGGAAGAAAUCCUCUGGGCUAAUACCCCGGGGGGAUGACGGUACCGGAAGAAUAAGCACCGGCUAACUACGUG
RNAcentral lists this ribosomal RNA (484 nucleotides) under uncultured bacterium. Its description in RNAcentral is "partial 16S ribosomal RNA". It matches the Rfam family "Bacterial small subunit ribosomal RNA", at positions 28 to 507 of the family's 1533-position model. The record is from RNAcentral.